CAUGCAGGCGGGCCAGCAAGUCUGAUGUGAAAGCCCCGGGCUUAACCUGGGAAGUGCAUUGGAAACUGCUGGUCUUGAGUGCUGGAGAGGAAGGGGGAAUUCCCGGUGUAGAGGUGAAAUUCGUAGAGAUCGGGAGGAAUACCAGUGGCGAAGGCGCCCUUCUGGACGGCAACUGACGCUGAGACGCGAAAGCGUGGGGAGCAAACAGGAUUAGAUACCCUGGUAGUCCACGCUGUAAACGAUGAGCACUAGGUGUAGCGGGUACUCAUUCCUGCUGUGCCGUAGCUAACGCGUUAAGUGCUCCGCCUGGGGAUUACGGUCGCAAGACUAAA
This 332-nucleotide ribosomal RNA is filed under the name uncultured bacterium. RNAcentral's name for it is "bacterial SSU rRNA". It matches the Rfam family "Bacterial small subunit ribosomal RNA", at positions 568 to 898 of the family's 1533-position model. The record is from RNAcentral.